RNAcentral lists this transfer RNA (69 nucleotides) under Negaprion brevirostris (lemon shark). RNAcentral describes it as "tRNA-Met". It matches the Rfam family "tRNA". Rfam says of the family: Transfer RNA (tRNA) molecules are approximately 80 nucleotides in length. Lineage: Eukaryota; Metazoa; Chordata; Chondrichthyes; Carcharhiniformes; Carcharhinidae. RNAcentral also lists the same sequence under 6 other names. The record is from RNAcentral.
AGUAAAGUCAGCUAAUAAAGCUUUUGGGCCCAUACCCCAACCAUGUUGGUUAAAAUCCUUCCUCUACUA